RNAcentral lists this ribosomal RNA (494 nucleotides) under uncultured bacterium. Its description in RNAcentral is "partial 16S ribosomal RNA". It matches the Rfam family "Bacterial small subunit ribosomal RNA", at positions 28 to 507 of the family's 1533-position model. The record is from RNAcentral.
GACGAACGCUGGCGGCGUGCUUAACACAUGCAAGUCGAACGGAAAGUUCUGCUUUCCCUUGUGGCGUGCGGGUACUCGAGUGGCGAACGGGUGAGUAACACGUGAGUGAUCUGCCCCCAACUUGUGUAUAAGCCUGGGAAACUGGGUCUAAUUCCCGAUAGGACUUCAGUGUGGUGCCUGUGGUGUAAAACGAUGUUCUAGUGGUAGGGUAUCAGCUCGCGGCCUCUCAGCUUGUUGGUGGGGUAAUGGCCCACCAAUGCGGCGACGGGCAGCCGCCGUGAGGGGGCGGAGCGGGACAUUGAGAAUGAGCUGCGACACAGGGACUGAGGGACGGCCGAGGUUGGGACUAUAAGAAGCUGGGCGGAAGACUGAUGCAGCGACGACGGGUGGAGGAUGCAGGGCUUCGGGUUGUAAGCUGCUUUCGGCGGCGAGGAAGCCUCUUGGCUGGAAGGGUAGUGACGGUAGUGGUAGAAGAAGCACCGGCUAACUACGUG